UUGAACGCUGGCGGCGUGCCUAAUACAUGCAAGUCGAGCGAACAGAUGAGGAGCUUGCUCCUCUGACGUUAGCGGCGGACGGGUGAGUAACACGUGGAUAACCUACCUAUAAGACUGGGAUAACUUCGGGAAACCGGAGCUAAUACCGGAUAAUAUAUUGAACCGCAUGGUUCAAUAGUGAAAGACGGUUUUGCUGUCACUUAUAGAUGGAUCCGCGCCGCAUUAGCUAGUUGGUAAGGUAACGGCUUACCAAGGCAACGAUGCGUAGCCGACCUGAGAGGGUGAUCGGCCACACUGGAACUGAGACACGGUCCAGACUCCUACGGGAGGCAGCAGUAGGGAAUCUUCCGCAAUGGGCGAAAGCCUGACGGAGCAACGCCGCGUGAGUGAUGAAGGUCUUCGGAUCGUAAAACUCUGUUAUUAGGGAAGAACAAAUGUGUAAGUAACUAUGCACGUCUUGACGGUACCUAAUCAGAAAGCCACGGCUAACUACGUG
Molecule: ribosomal RNA, 496 nt
Filed under: uncultured bacterium
Lineage: Bacteria
Description: partial 16S ribosomal RNA
Rfam family: Bacterial small subunit ribosomal RNA
Source: RNAcentral